GCCAUGGCUCAGUGGUUAGAGCACCUGCCUUGCAUGCAGAAGGGCCCAGGAUCAAUCCCCAGUAGCAUCU
Podarcis lilfordi (Lilford's wall lizard) is the source of this 70-nucleotide non-coding RNA. Lineage: Eukaryota; Metazoa; Chordata; Lepidosauria; Squamata; Lacertidae. The record is from the annotation of a GenBank genome assembly.